This is a non-coding RNA of Struthio camelus australis, 1222 nucleotides long. Lineage: Eukaryota; Metazoa; Chordata; Aves; Struthioniformes; Struthionidae. The record is from RefSeq and is a predicted model, not a curated record.
CUCUCCUGAAGAAAAAACGUUUAUUUUCCAGUAACUGAUUUUUUGGAAGUGUUUCACUUCAGAUUCAGCCACUCACCUUUCACCUGUGUCUUGACAGCCAAAUUUUAUUGGUGAAAUGAUUGAGAGGUGAUUGAGGCUACCUUGCCCUCCGUGUCCUUAGUUUCUACAGAAACCAGCUCUUCUAGGAUGUUGUUUCCAACAUGUUGCUUUUUUUAAAGGAAUCUAAUUGUGCCUCGAUUUCAUGAAAAUCCUAAGUGGAAUCUUUAUGAAUCUUCAUGAACAUCCUGAAGAACUGCAAUUACUACUAGGCUUGACGGGAAGACCCGAGUCAAGAAGUCACAGCAGAAGAGGUGCUUGCAGCUCUGCUGGUGAUUCCCCAGAGAGCCCCCUCAGCAAGGGGCUGAAAGGGCUGCCGAGGCCCUGGUGGAAGCUACUCACUUUUCUAGGCUAAAGGCAACGCAACAGAAUCUAUAGUCACCAACUACGUAACGACAGGAACAAUGACUGCUCGUUUAGUCUGCAGAAAAAGUUUUACUUUCUUUGUGUGUUAAUCUCAUGUUGCCAUGGAGCCUUGCUUUGAAAGGUAGUCACAAAGGUGCUUGAAUAAGUAGUGUAAACACAGAAGCAGUUCCUUGAAGUAUUUCCACAAAAUGGAAGGAUUAAAAACCUGAAAUUCAGGAGUAUCACGAGCCAUUCUAUGUGUUUUGAUUUGGAAAUAGUUGGUGAUACUGAGGGCAGAACUGGAAAACAGCACAUGCUCCCUAAGAUGCUCUCAGUCUAUCGAUACACUCAGUGAUUCCACGCUAGUUCCCAAAGAAGAGGUAAGAUGUUUUAAAAGUUUUUCUGUCCGUUUUAUGAAAUCAACAGACCUGGUAUAAUGCUGUACAGUAAAGGUAUUCAUUAAUAUGCAGAUAUUAAUACAGAGAGUCCAAAAAAGCAUUGUUUGAAAGGCAUGUUCUUACUCAAUUCCUUUUUCAUUUCAGAUUUUAGUGCAAUUUUACUCUAGAACAGUAAGCUGUGCCCCUGAGCCAAUUUUUUUGUUCAGACACAAGUGACAAUUCUGCGAUGUUAAAUAUGAAAUUUAACAUCAAUAAUAUAUUAUGCAGUUCAGUAACAGUUUACAGUAUUGUAGUUGAUACUGUAAAAUACAAAAGGUACUGUUCAUGGCUGUGUUUUUAGAUAUGGUGAGGAGGGAAGGAACAGUCCUCAUGGAGGAGGAAGG